GACCCAGCAACGCCGCGUGAAGGAUGAAAUCCCUCGGGAUGUAAACUUCGCAAGAAUGGGAAGAAUAAGUAGGGGACAAUACCCCCUAUGAUGACGGUACCAUUUGUAAGCUCCGGCUAACUCCGUGCCAGCAGCCGCGGUAAUACGGGGGGAGCAAGCGUUGUUCGGAUUUACUGGGCGUAAAGGGCGCGUAGGCGGCCAGCACAAGUCAGUUGUGAAAUCUCCGGGCUUAACCCGGAAAGGUCAACUGAUACUGUGCGGCUAGAGUGCGGAAGGGGCAACUGGAAUUCUCGGUGUAGCGGUGAAAUGCGUAGAUAUCGAGAGGAACACCUGCGGCGAAGGCGGGUUGCUGGGCCGACACUGACGCUGAGACGCGAAAGCCAGGGGAGCGAACGGGAUUAGAUACCCCGGUAGUCCUGGCCUUAAACGAUGGAUGCUUGGUGUCUGGGGUUUUAUAGUCCCCGGGUGCCGUAGCUAACGCGUUAAGCAUCCCGCCUGGGGAGUACGGUCGCAAGACUGAAACUCAAAGGAAUUGACGGGGACCCGCACAAGCGGUGGAGCAUGUGGUUCAAUUCGACGCA
RNAcentral lists this ribosomal RNA (581 nucleotides) under uncultured bacterium. Its description in RNAcentral is "bacterial SSU rRNA". It matches the Rfam family "Bacterial small subunit ribosomal RNA", at positions 385 to 958 of the family's 1533-position model. The record is from RNAcentral.